RNAcentral lists this ribosomal RNA (234 nucleotides) under uncultured bacterium. RNAcentral describes it as "partial 16S ribosomal RNA". It matches the Rfam family "Bacterial small subunit ribosomal RNA", at positions 96 to 334 of the family's 1533-position model. The record is from RNAcentral.
UGGCGGACGGGGGAGUAAUGUCUGGGAAACUGCCUGAUGGAGGGGGAUAACUACUGGAAACGGUAGCUAAUACCGCAUAACGUCGCAAGACCAAAGAGGGGACCUUCGGGCCUCUUGCCAUCGGAUGUGCCCAGAUGGGAUUAGCUAGUAGGUGGGGUAACGGCUCACCUAGGCGACGAUCCCUAGCUGGUCUGAGAGAAUGACCAGCCACACUGGAACUGAGACACGGUCCAG